ACACAUGCAAGUCGAAACGGUAGCACAGAGAGCUUGCUCUCGGGUGACGAGUGGCGGACGGGUGAGUAAUGUCUGGGAAACUGCCUGAUGGAGGGGGAUAACUACUGGAAACGGUAGCUAAUACCGCAUAACGUCGCAAGACCAAAGAGGGGGACCUUCGGGCCUCUUGCCAUCAGAUGUGCCCAGAUGGGAUUAGCUAGUAGGUGGGGUAACGGCUCACCUAGGCGACGAUCCCUAGCUGGUCUGAGAGGAUGACCAGCCACACUGGAACUGAGACACGGUCCAGACUCCUACGGGAGGCAGCAGUGGGGAAUAUUGCACAAUGGGCGCAAGCCUGAUGC
Molecule: ribosomal RNA, 341 nt
Filed under: Enterobacter cloacae
Lineage: Bacteria; Pseudomonadati; Pseudomonadota; Gammaproteobacteria; Enterobacterales; Enterobacteriaceae
Description: bacterial SSU rRNA
Rfam family: Bacterial small subunit ribosomal RNA
Source: RNAcentral